GAUGAACGCUAGCGGCAGGCCUAACACAUGCAAGUCGAGGGAGAGGUUACCUUCGGGUAACCAAAACCGGCGCACGGGUGCGUAACGCGUAUACAAUCUGCCUUUCACAUAGGGAUAGCCCGAAGAAAUUUGGAUUAAUACCUAAUGGUAUAUAAGAGCGGCAUCGUUUUUAUAUUAAAGCUACGGUGGUGAAAGAUGAGUAUGCGUUCUAUUAGCUAGUUGGAGAGGUAACGGCUCCCCAAGGCGACGAUAGAUAGGGGUUCUGAGAGGGAUGUCCACCACACUGGUACUGAGAUACGGACCAGACUCCUACGGGAGGCAGCAGUGAGGAAUAUUGGACAAUGGUCGGAAGACUGAUCCAGCCAUGCCGCGUGCAGGAGGAAGGUCCUAUGGAUUGUAAACUGCUUUUGUAAGGGAAGAAUAAGGAGUACGUGUACUUUGAUGACGGUACCUUACGAAUAAGCAUCGGCUAACUCCGUG
RNAcentral lists this ribosomal RNA (480 nucleotides) under uncultured bacterium. RNAcentral's name for it is "partial 16S ribosomal RNA". It matches the Rfam family "Bacterial small subunit ribosomal RNA", at positions 28 to 507 of the family's 1533-position model. The record is from RNAcentral.